This is a long non-coding RNA of Nerophis lumbriciformis (worm pipefish), 517 nucleotides long. RefSeq lists it as uncharacterized. Lineage: Eukaryota; Metazoa; Chordata; Actinopteri; Syngnathiformes; Syngnathidae. The record is from RefSeq and is a predicted model, not a curated record.
UCUUUCUAAGCUGCUCAAGUCACGUCGGAGUUCAUUGACGGUAACUUUGUUGGCUUAAACAUCACAUUUAGGUUUAGCGAUGCGAGACGUCACAAGCGGGCUAACGUUGAGCCAAACAGCAGCUUCGAGGCACGGGCGGAAAUGAGAAGGAGUUUGGCCCCCAGUCAGGUCGCCAAACGGAAGCAAGGGGAGGAUGAUCAUCGAGACGAAAUAUAGUAUAUUAACCACGAGCGGUUCUCGAGAGAAGAUGAAUGGAGAAAAUUGGGACAGUGAUGAAGAAGUCCAAGUUCCAUGGCCACUCAACAAAGCAGGAGGAAGGAAGCAGUCACAAACCAAAUACGUGGCAAGAAUUCUGAGAUUUGGUGAAGACACACGUGAACUGACGCCAUAUUUGAAAGCCGCUCAGGAUGGCAAGGAUGUACCCCUUACUGGUGAUUUGGAAUAUGGCAGAGGCAAGAGAAACAAACAGCCAAAGUCUUGGUCAUCAGACAGUGAGAGCAAGGAUGAAGGUGUUGAG